UACAGAGGUCUCAAGCGUUGUUCGGAUUCAUUGGGCGUAAAGGGUGCGUAGGUGGCGUGGUAAGUCGGGUGUGAAAUUUCGGAGCUUAACUCCGAAACUGCAUUCGAUACUGCCGUGCUUGAGGACUGGAGAGGAGACUGGAAUUUACGGUGUAGCAGUGAAAUGCGUAGAGAUCGGGAGGAACACCAGAGGCGAAGGCGCCUAGCUGGACAGAUACUGACACUCAACAACGAAAGCGUGGGGAGCAAACAGG
RNAcentral lists this ribosomal RNA (253 nucleotides) under uncultured bacterium. Its description in RNAcentral is "partial 16S ribosomal RNA". It matches the Rfam family "Bacterial small subunit ribosomal RNA", at positions 524 to 776 of the family's 1533-position model. The record is from RNAcentral.